RNAcentral lists this transfer RNA (75 nucleotides) under Dipodomys ordii (Ord's kangaroo rat). It matches the Rfam family "tRNA". Rfam says of the family: Transfer RNA (tRNA) molecules are approximately 80 nucleotides in length. Their secondary structure includes four short double-helical elements and three loops (D, anti-codon, and T loops). Further hydrogen bonds mediate the characteristic L-shaped molecular structure. tRNAs have two regions of fundamental functional importance: the anti-codon, which is responsible for specific mRNA codon recognition, and the 3' end, to which the tRNAs corresponding amino acid is attached (by aminoacyl-tRNA synthetases). tRNAs cope with the degeneracy of the genetic code in two manners: having more than one tRNA (with a specific anti-codon) for a particular amino acid; and 'wobble' base-pairing, i.e. permitting non-standard base-pairing at the 3rd anti-codon position. Lineage: Eukaryota; Metazoa; Chordata; Mammalia; Rodentia; Heteromyidae. The record is from Rfam by way of RNAcentral.
GGCGCUGUGGCUCAAGUGGUAGAGCACUAGCCUUGAGCUGAUGCUUGAGGCUCUGGGUUCGAUUCCUCAGCACCA